GACGAACGCUGGCGGCGUGCUUAACACAUGCAAGUCGAACGGUGAAGCGCCUUUCUUUUUGGGGGGUGUGGAUGAGCGGCGAACGGGCGGGUAACACGUGCGUAACCUGCCCCCUUCUUCUGGAUAACCGCACGAAAGUGUGGCUAAUACGGGAUAUUCUGGGUCUGUCGCAGGAUGGGUCUGUGAAAGAUAUUGUUUCGGUGGGGGAUGGUCUCGCGGCCUAUCAGCUGGUUGGUGGGGGGAUGGCCUACCAAGGGGGUGACGGGUAGCCGGCCGGCGAGGGUGGCCGGUCGCACUGGGUGAGAGCCACGGCCGCGACUGCUACGGGAGGCAGCAGUCGGGGAUGGUGCGCAAUGGGCGGGAGGCUGCUGCAGGGACGCCGCGUGAGGGAUGGAGGCCUUCGGGUUGUGAACCUCUUUCGCCAGUGAAGCAGGCCUGCCUCGUUUGUGGGUGGGUUGACGGUAGCUGGAUAAGAAGCGCCGGCUAACUACGUG
RNAcentral lists this ribosomal RNA (494 nucleotides) under uncultured bacterium. RNAcentral's name for it is "partial 16S ribosomal RNA". It matches the Rfam family "Bacterial small subunit ribosomal RNA", at positions 28 to 507 of the family's 1533-position model. The record is from RNAcentral.